Molecule: long non-coding RNA, 1053 nt
Filed under: Olea europaea subsp. europaea
Lineage: Eukaryota; Viridiplantae; Streptophyta; Magnoliopsida; Lamiales; Oleaceae
Source: RNAcentral
UUCGUGUUCUAUGAUACCAAUAUGUUGGAACAUUUGGCUCGUAAUAAGCCACAUCACAAAACUCGGGGACACAAGAUUGUUGCCCCUAUUGCCCACGCUGGGGACCAAGUUUCAAGUGCUAUAUAAACAAGUGUUUCCAAUUGGUGAAAACAAACCAAGAAACACCAAAAGAGAGAGGAAAAUUCAGGCCAAAUUAAAUUGAAGUGUAAGAGAAAAGCAUUCGUUGAGCGAGUUCUUGUGAAAUUAGUCUUGACGUAAUCUCAGUUUUUUCCAAUAAGUGAUACUAGUCUUCCCCUCAUAGGCAAAAUUGCCAAAACAUGUAAAUCUUUUAUAUUCCAUUUUUUCUAUUGUUUUUCCGUUAUUGUUAGUCUUCCAUUCAUUUCAUCACACUUAUUGGCAUCAUAGUCGCAACAUAUUUCCGCUACAAUAUUAAUAAUAUAACGAUAUUCUCUCACACAGAGUCUAUUAUAACACAAUAAUCUAUCAGCUGUAAAAUUCCAAGACUAUAACUUGAUAUCAGAGUCAUCAAUUUGCUGAAGCAGGGAUUAAGUAGGGAAAGUUAAUUAGAAAACAAUAAUAAAAAGGAAUUGAACGAGGGCACCUCAUCUCCAGCCGUUAAAUUCGAGAGACCCCAAGAAUAAGCCACCAAGUUGAUGGCCUGAGCUGCAUUUCCUUGUAAAGACAAUCUCUCCAGUUGAUGCAUUGACCUUAUGUCAUGCAAAUUCAUAUUCAUCCGUUGCCUUUGCACUGCACCAAAAUUUUUUAAAGAACAUGAUUAAGAUGUUUGGCCUAAAACCUAAGAAGAAGAUUUUAGCUGGUUUCUCGCCUGGGCGGAGUCUACAAAAGCCACUUUAGCAAAAGUGACGUAAGUACAAACACCAUCUACAUAAUCAAUCAAAAAUUCUUCCUUUCACGAGUAUAUUUAACUGAGACUUUUGAAAAAUUUGAUGCACUUUUUUUAAAUGAUAAUUUUUGUAAAUUUCGUUGAUUUUUUAUAGAUUUAUAUGAAAUUAGUGAAAUUAUUUUAAAAUUAUUAUAGACUUUUGUGAAAUU